Molecule: ribosomal RNA, 434 nt
Filed under: uncultured Lachnospiraceae bacterium
Lineage: Bacteria; Bacillati; Bacillota; Clostridia; Lachnospirales; Lachnospiraceae
Description: partial 16S ribosomal RNA
Rfam family: Bacterial small subunit ribosomal RNA
Source: RNAcentral
ACGGAAGGCAGCAGUGGGGAAUAUUGCACAAUGGGCGAAAGCCUGAUGCAGCGACGCCGCGUGAGUGAAGAAGUAUCUCGGUAUGUAAAGCUCUAUCAGCAGGGAAGAAAAUGACGGUACCUGACUAAGAAGCCCCGGCUAACUACGUGCCAGCAGCCGCGGUAAUACGUAGGGGGCAAGCGUUAUCCGGAUUUACUGGGUGUAAAGGGAGCGUAGACGGUUUGGCAAGUCUGAAGUGAAAUGCGGGGGCUCAACUCCUGAACUGCUUUGGAAACUGUCGAACUAGAGUGCAGGAGAGGUAAGUGGAAUUCCUAGUGUAGCGGUGAAAUGCGUAGAUAUUAGGAGGAACACCAGUGGCGAAGGCGGCUUACUGGGCUUUAACUGACGCUGAGGCUCGAAAGCGUGGGGAGCAAACAGGAUUAGAUACCCUGGUA